CAGUCGCCGCGGGAAUACGUAGGUGGCAAGCGUUGUCCGGAAUUAUUGGGCGUAAAGGGCUCGCAGGCGGUUUCUUAAGUCUGAUGUGAAAGCCCCCGGCUCAACCGGGGAGGGUCAUUGGAAACUGGGAAACUUGAGUGCAGAAGAGGAGAGUGGAAUUCCACGUGUAGCGGUGAAGUGCGUAGAGAUGUGGAGGAACACCAGUGGCGAAGGCGACUCUCUGGUCUGUAACUGACGCUGAGGAGCGAAAGCGUGGGGAGCGAACAGGAUUAGAUACCCGAGUAGUCCCUGUCUCUUAUAC
Molecule: ribosomal RNA, 301 nt
Filed under: uncultured bacterium
Lineage: Bacteria
Description: partial 16S ribosomal RNA
Rfam family: Bacterial small subunit ribosomal RNA
Source: RNAcentral